UCGCAUCCUGGGGCUGAAGAAGGUCCCAAGGGUUUGGCUGUUCGCCAAUUAAAGCGGUACGUGAUCUGGGUUCAGACCGUCGUAAGACAGGUCGGUCCUUAUCCGCUGUAGGCGUAGGGUAUUUGAGAGAGCUUGUCCUUAGUACGAGAGGACCGGGAUGAGUAAACCUCUGGUGUUCCAGUUGUUCCCCAAGAGCAACGCUGGGUAGCCAAGUUUAUAAGAGAUAACCGCUGAAAGCAUCUAAGUGGGAAACUCGUCUCAAGAUAAGAUACCCCGUGGGUCGUAAGAUUCACAUUAAGACUCCUUGUAGACUAUGAGGUUGAUAGGCUGGAUGUGUAAGUACAGUAAUGUAUUGAGCUAACCAGUACUAAUAAGUCGAAUGUUUUAGUCAU
RNAcentral lists this ribosomal RNA (392 nucleotides) under Candidatus Babeliales bacterium. RNAcentral describes it as "partial 23S ribosomal RNA". It matches the Rfam family "Bacterial large subunit ribosomal RNA", at positions 2540 to 2925 of the family's 2925-position model. Lineage: Bacteria; Candidatus Babeliae; Candidatus Babeliales. The record is from RNAcentral.